GCGUAACACCUAAUUUCCGUAAUUCAUUUUUUGUACAUCACAUUGAUAUUAGAAUUAUUCAAUGUUUCAAAAAUUAAGUGUAUUCUCCAGAACACAAAUCCUGUAACAUUAUCGCUACAACUCCGAAGAUACUCAAAAGACCCGCUCAUCUUUCCCCCGCGCAGAUUCAACGUGACAACAAUUAAUCACCACAGAUCUAGGGUAUUUUGACGCUGUUGGUACCGGAUUUACUUAAAUCCAGUCCAGCGCGAGAGAGAAACUUUUUUAGAGAGAGAAGCUGCACUCCUAGGCACACCAUGUAUACUCACAUCACGGUACUGGCCACUGAAAUAGAGAUAUACUGAAACACUUACUCCAUAUAGGCCCGUAUUCAUAGUCAGGUCUCAAGGCGGUGCUUAAGACCGUCUUGGUGAAGAUCGUCUUAUUCGUUCAAGACCGUCUUGAGAUGCUAUGUAUUCAUAGUCGGAAAACAAGACCGUCUUCGUCAAGAAUUUGGUCUCAAGCGCUAGCUUAUUUCAUUCAAGACCGUCUUGGCGAAGACUGAGCUUGAGACGGUCUUAUUCGACGUUCGGUUAUGUUCGGAAUAUUUCCGAUGUAUCCCCCAAUAAGAUGCUCGGAUUUUAUUUCUCAGCCUGUGCAAGAUAUUCGUAUAGGCAUGCAGCUCUUGAGUAUUUUUAUAGUUUAUGAACACAACAACGUUAGCGCCACGUAGAGGAACUAAAAAACGGGAACAAAUCGCGUACAAUUUUUUGUAGUGGGUGUAUAGCUAUAAAACGAAGAAGAAGAAAAAGAAUUUUAUAGUGAAUCCCGGUGCAGACUUGCAAAAAAAUGCGCGUGAAAGGGACAACCUUUGAUCUUCAAAGUUCAAAAGAGCAACUUUAGUUCUAUUUACUGGCUGUAUUUAUAAUGUAUUGAAUAUUUUUACGUAGACAAAUUUUCAUAAGUAUUAUCGUAACUAUAAGACUGACGCUUAGUACAAUUACGUACAUAUCAGUAUUUUCAUGAGUAAGUGAGGGGUUUAAAAAUAAAAUGAGAACCAAUGAUAA
This 1046-nucleotide long non-coding RNA is filed under the name Neodiprion lecontei (redheaded pine sawfly). RNAcentral's name for it is "uncharacterized LOC124293603". The record is from RNAcentral. Lineage: Eukaryota; Metazoa; Arthropoda; Insecta; Hymenoptera; Diprionidae.